UUCAGAUGUUGCUGAACUAAAACUCCCAUGAUUCUAUGAAUGAAAUAGGCUGAGAAUCAUGGGAGUUUUAGUUCAGCAACAUCUGGAGGGUCGG
Molecule: microRNA precursor, 94 nt
Filed under: Pelobates cultripes (western spadefoot toad)
Lineage: Eukaryota; Metazoa; Chordata; Amphibia; Anura; Pelobatidae
Source: RNAcentral